Molecule: ribosomal RNA, 229 nt
Filed under: Sebacina dimitica
Lineage: Eukaryota; Fungi; Basidiomycota; Agaricomycetes; Sebacinales; Sebacinaceae
Description: partial 28S ribosomal RNA
Rfam family: Eukaryotic large subunit ribosomal RNA
Source: RNAcentral
UUGACCUCAAAUCGAGUAGGACUACCCGCUGAACUUAAGCAUAUCAAUAAGCGGAGGAAAAGAAACUAACAAGGAUUCCCCUAGUAACGGCGAGUGAAGAGGGAAGAGCUCAAAUUUUAAAUCUGGCGUCUUUGGCGUCCGAAUUGUAAUCUAGAGAAGUGUUUUCCGUGACGGACCGUGCACAAGUCUCCUGGAAUGGAGCGUCAUAGAGGGUGAGAAUCCCGUAUAU